AGAUGUGUAGGUGCUGCAUGGUUGUCGUCAGCUCGUGCCGUGAGGUGUCGGCUUAAGUGCCAUAACGAGCGCAACCCUCAUCAUUAGUUACCAUCAGGUAAGGCUGGGGACUCUAAUGAGACUGCCAUCGUAAGAUGUGAGGAAGGUGGGGAUGACGUCAAAUCAGCACGGCCCUUACUCCGGGGCGACACACGUGUUACAAUGGGUGGUACAAAGGGCAGCUACCUGGCGACAGGAUGCUAAUCUCCAAAACCACUCUCAGUUCGGAUCGGAGUCUGCAACUCGACUCCGUGAAGCUGGAUUCGCUAGUAAUCGCGCAUCAGCCACGGCGCGGUGAAUACGUUCCCGGGCCUU
This 354-nucleotide ribosomal RNA is filed under the name uncultured Proteiniphilum sp. RNAcentral describes it as "bacterial SSU rRNA". It matches the Rfam family "Bacterial small subunit ribosomal RNA", at positions 1028 to 1382 of the family's 1533-position model. The record is from RNAcentral. Lineage: Bacteria; Pseudomonadati; Bacteroidota; Bacteroidia; Bacteroidales; Dysgonomonadaceae.